AAGUCGUAACAAGGUUUCCGUAGGUGAACCUGCGGAAGGAUCAUUAUUGAGAAAUCGAAGCAGGCUGCUGCUGGCCUCUCUUGCAAAGGAGGGGCAUGUGCGCGCCUGUUCUCGUUCCACUCACACCUGUGCACUGCUCGGGGGCUGGCGAAAGCCUGCCUCUGUUUACACAAACACUUGUAUGUAACAGAAUGUUUCUUUUUGCGCAAUGCAAAUCUUUAACAACUUUCAACAACGGAUCUCUUGGCUCUC
RNAcentral lists this unclassified non-coding RNA (252 nucleotides) under fungal sp. Its description in RNAcentral is "partial internal transcribed spacer region". The stretch from base 1 to 46 matches the Rfam family "Eukaryotic small subunit ribosomal RNA", at positions 1786 to 1831 of the family's 1831-position model. RNAcentral also lists the same sequence under 1 other name. Lineage: Eukaryota; Fungi. The record is from RNAcentral.